AUGGACGGCGAGGGCUCCUGGCGCUUCCUCUACGACUCCGACAGCGAUGACGAGCUCCUCCGCUUUGCCCGAGGGGACAAGGCCGUGCCCGCUGAGCGCCACCAGCAGCAACAGGUUCUGGCGGCUCACGACGACGCCCAGCCGGCCUUCGCGGUUGCAAGAGCCGCCGCGGACGCACAGCCCGUCGUCUCUGAUCAGCAAAUGAUGGCCGGCUUGCCAUCGGCGUCGGCAAUGCAACUCGAUCACCAUCAGGCGCCUCCCAUGGUCCACGUGCAGCAGCUUCAACCGGCGCCGCCGAUGGCAUUCCAACCCCAGCAGGCGCCUUCCAUGGUACAUUCUCAUUACCCUCAACCAGCGCCGGCGAUGCCACUCCAGCGUCAACCUGGCGAUUCGCCGGCAACGGUGCCAUUCCAUGUUGGCCAGAACCAGCACAUGAUGGGCGAGUCGUUGUCGGCGAUGCCACUCCAUCACCAGCAGAUGCUAGUCGACUCGCCGGCCACGAUGCAACUCCAACACCAGCAGAUGCAAGGCCUAAGCGAGCCGUCGCCGGAGGUGAUGUCCGCACUCGAAUACCAGCAGAUAAUGGCCAAUCUGGGUCUUACUGACCUCUACGUAGAAGACGAAGAAGUACACCUCCCUGGCGGCAGUGGCACCCCCAGCAUCCCGGACAUGGAGCCACCGGUGGUGGCGCAUGGCCUUCAGGGCGACAAAAUACCGAAGCCGUCACAGGAAGGUGGAGAGGGCCAGUUCUUCGCCCCUGCGCCGCAGCCCGGCGACGAUUCGGGUCCCAGUGGCGCCGCCAGCAUCCCGGACCCGGACCCGCCGGUGACGGCUCCGGCAGUGGCACCAGCGCAGCCAGAGCAAGAAUCGUGCGAACACUGUUACGUCGUCAGAGAGGUCAGGAACCACAGCGCGUUAGGGCCGGUGACCUUGUCGGUGCACCGCGCGACGGACGGAACAUACACGCACAUUAUCCUCGAACUCAAAGGCACCGCCGCCCAAGGCCCAAAUUCCGGCACCCAACGAAUUUACAGGUGCCUGCGCGACCUCACGCCCGAGUCGGUUCCUGAGUAUGUUGAGUCCUGCAUCCGCAAGAUGAGGAACAAAGCCGGUCCGCUGGAGGACGUCAUCGGCAGCGCCGCCGCCGCCAGCAGCUCUACCAUGGUCCGCGCUCCUCCGGAGAACCCCGGCUUGCCCUGGGCGCCAGAGAGGGGCACGCGGCGGCCUGCGCCGCCGACGCCGCCCACCGAGCAAGAGGAAAAGGAGACGCGGCGGUACCUUCGUGACGCCGCGGACAUGGCCGUGAGGGAGCUGGGAUCGCUGGCCUCCGAGGUCAGGAGCGUCCGCAACCAAAGAGCUCCAGACAGUAAUAAUCGCAAAGUUCUAUUUAGCAGGCUAAGAGAACUCAACCAUAAGAUCAAGAGAUUCGAGAAGGACUCGGCCAAGCGUGUGGGGAGUGAACUGUCCAAGAUCAGGAGGGAGGUGGAUGGCUUUGUGAUGGAGAAAAGACAACUGUACGAUAUUCUUAAGGAGCUGAUGCAGAGGGUAACCAAGAACUGCCACCGCGUCCCUCCCCGUGGAAAUGACGAUCAGGCCGGUGGCAGCGGCGCCGCCGGUGCUGCCGUGUCGUAA
Molecule: ribosomal RNA, 1632 nt
Filed under: Triticum aestivum (bread wheat)
Lineage: Eukaryota; Viridiplantae; Streptophyta; Magnoliopsida; Poales; Poaceae
Description: partial small subunit ribosomal RNA
Source: RNAcentral